GACGAACGCUGGCGGCGUGCUUAACACAUGCAAGUCGAACGGUAAGGCCCCUUCGGGGGUACACGAGUGGCGAACGGGUGAGUAACACGUGAGCAACCUGCCCCUGACUCUGGAAUAACAGUUGGAAACAGCUGCUAAUACUGGAUAUUCAUCGUCUCCUUCCUGGGGGGUGGUGGAAAGCUCCGGCGGUCAGGGAUGGGCUCGCGGCCUAUCAGCUUGUUGGUGAGGUAAUGGCUCACCAAGGCUUCGACGGGUAGCCGGCCUGAGAGGGCGACCGGCCACACUGGGACUGAGAUACGGCCCAGACUCCUACGGGAGGCAGCAGUGGGGAAUAUUGCACAAUGGGCGCAAGCCUGAUGCAGCAACGCCGCGUGCGGGAUGACGGCCUUCGGGUUGUAAACCGCUUUCAGUUGGGACGAAGGGUGACUGACGGUACCUACAGAAGAAGGACCGGCUAACUACGUG
RNAcentral lists this ribosomal RNA (465 nucleotides) under uncultured bacterium. RNAcentral describes it as "partial 16S ribosomal RNA". It matches the Rfam family "Bacterial small subunit ribosomal RNA", at positions 28 to 507 of the family's 1533-position model. The record is from RNAcentral.